GAGUUUGAUCAUGGCUCAGAUUGAACGCUGGCGGCAGGCCUAACACAUGCAAGUCGAACGGUAACAGGAAACAGCUUGCUGUUUCGCUGACGAGUGGCGGACGGGUGAGUAAUGUCUGGGAAACUGCCUGAUGGAGGGGGAUAACUACUGGAAACGGUAGCUAAUACCGCAUAACGUCGCAAGACCAAAGAGGGGGACCUUCGGGCCUCUUGCCAUCGGAUGUGCCCAGAUGGGAUUAGCUAGUAGGUGGGGCAACGGCUCACCUAGGCGACGAUCCCUAGCUGGUCUGAGAGGAUGACCAGCCACACUGGAACUGAGACACGGUCCAGACUCCUACGGGAGGCAGCAGUGGGGAAUAUUGCACAAUGGGCGCAAGCCUGAUGCAGCCAUGCCGCGUGUAUGAGAAGGCCUCGG
RNAcentral lists this ribosomal RNA (414 nucleotides) under uncultured microorganism. RNAcentral describes it as "bacterial SSU rRNA". It matches the Rfam family "Bacterial small subunit ribosomal RNA", at positions 9 to 420 of the family's 1533-position model. The record is from RNAcentral.